This 1393-nucleotide long non-coding RNA is filed under the name Sorghum bicolor (sorghum). RNAcentral describes it as "long non-coding RNA (SBIC_LNC003946)". Lineage: Eukaryota; Viridiplantae; Streptophyta; Magnoliopsida; Poales; Poaceae. The record is from RNAcentral.
GUUGGGAAAAUGCUCUCCGCACCUCCCAGCAAUACGGUGGAUCGAGGACCUUCUCACUCGGUGCCGUGAGAGGUUUGAGCGCUAGCGAGCAGUGAACUCAACAGUAGGUGAAUACAGUGAAUGCUCUCUCCCUUUAUUAAUGACGGCAUCACGCCCCUUAUAUAGGGCCUGGAAACCGACCUAAUGACGUUUACAUAAAUACCCCGUGACGGUGGGGGGGAUAUUCCAGUAUAUUCUUACAUCACAGUCUACUGACCCUAAGUCACCUGCGUAAUUUCACAUUGCAAGCCCUUCGUUUAUCCUCUGUCUGGGGCUUCAGCUGGUCGGAGGCUUGGAUCCUCCGCCCAAUUGCGGAUCCUUCGACGCUUCAGUGUCGGAGGUUCCUCUGUCUGGCUGGGCCGGAGGUUGCUCGACCCGGCCACCCCGGGAGUUCCUCCUUAGCCUGGUCGAGUCGGAGGUCCCUCGGCCUGGCCGCGUUCUCCCGCCGUCCUCGGACCCGGGAGGGUCGGAGGUUCCCCCCUUUCCUUGCUCGUGGACCUCCGCCGGUGUCUCAGUCCCUGCACACACUUAGCAUGACCAGACGAGUCGUCAACAUUAGUAUUUUCCGAUGAAGGAUAUCCUCCGACGCCUGAAGGAUAUCCUCCGACGCUUCAGGCGUCGGAGGUUCCUCGGGUGAAGGAUAACCUUCGACGCUACCAGGGGGAAGGAUGCAGCUGUUCCCCAACACCCAUUUUAUAUAUUUAUUAAAAUGUCUCGAAAGGCAUAAAUGGCUCCUCCCUUGAAAUUGCUUUGAGUAUCCUUCCAGAUACUCCAUAUACCAGGGAAGAAGCAUAUCAAAAUCCAACUCCAUAUGCCAAACAAAUUUGCAUCUAGGGUCAUAUCAAACACACCCAUGCAUAUUGUAAGAUGAGCAGUGAUUUACACCAAUGGAUCACGCAAAAAAAAAAAAUCUUUGAUAAUACUUGACUAAUGACCAUGAUCUAACAUAAAUCACUUCGUUUCACAUAAGAGUAAAAUAAACUGGUGAUCACUGAACUCUCAAAAUGUUGUUUCUAGGUCAUCGGACUUAUCUACAUCUUGAUGCCACAUGUCAUAACGGUUGUAUCCACAUCUUAUUGUUUUUAUCAAGCAGGAAUUUAAUUAAUGGCAAAACAAUCAUUCGCCUACAUCUUCCAUCUAAGGAACACUAGCUUUAGCCUUGCCAUCACCAGUACUGAUAACGUCGUGGCCUUUGAUGUUGAGCACAUGCUAAAGGGUAUGCAAUACAGCACUAGAUUGGACGUAGAGAGAAGGAGAGAGCAUGGAUAAUUGGUGAUGGAGAGAGAGAGAGAGAGAGAGAGAGAGAGAGAGAGAGAGAGAGAAGGAGGAUGUAGAUGGAGAGCCACGUAGGCCU